RNAcentral lists this transfer RNA (68 nucleotides) under Hynobius leechii (Gensan salamander). RNAcentral's name for it is "tRNA-Ser". RNAcentral also lists the same sequence under 1 other name. The record is from RNAcentral. Lineage: Eukaryota; Metazoa; Chordata; Amphibia; Caudata; Hynobiidae.
GAGAAGAGUCAAGAGACAUAGAAAUUGCUAACUAUCUACCACUGAGGUUAAAAUCCUCAGUCUACUUA